GGCGCCGUGGCUUAGUUGGAUAAAGCACAUGUCUAGUAAACAGGAGAUCACGAGUUCGAAUCUCGUCGGUGCCU
Molecule: transfer RNA, 74 nt
Filed under: Trichonephila clavata
Lineage: Eukaryota; Metazoa; Arthropoda; Arachnida; Araneae; Nephilidae
Rfam family: tRNA
About the family: Transfer RNA (tRNA) molecules are approximately 80 nucleotides in length. Their secondary structure includes four short double-helical elements and three loops (D, anti-codon, and T loops).
Source: Rfam by way of RNAcentral